This 259-nucleotide ribosomal RNA is filed under the name uncultured prokaryote. RNAcentral describes it as "partial 16S ribosomal RNA". It matches the Rfam family "Bacterial small subunit ribosomal RNA", at positions 524 to 782 of the family's 1533-position model. The record is from RNAcentral.
UACGGAGGAUGCAAGCGUUAUCCGGAUUUAUUGGGUUUAAAGGGUGCGUAGGCGGCUUUUUAAGUCAGCGGUGAAAUUUUGCAGCUUAACUGUAACAGUGCCGUUGAUACUGGGGAGCUAGGAUUUGGUUGCUGUGGGUGGAAUGUGUGGUGUAGCGGUGAAAUGCUUAGAGAUCACACAGAAUAUCGAUUGCGAAGGCAGCUCACAAAGCCAAGAUUGACGCUGAGGCACGAAAGUGUGGGGAUCAAACAGGAUUAGA